Molecule: long non-coding RNA, 1817 nt
Organism: Malania oleifera
Lineage: Eukaryota; Viridiplantae; Streptophyta; Magnoliopsida; Santalales; Ximeniaceae
Exons: 2
Source: RefSeq, a predicted model, not a curated record
GUCCGUUGCACGCCCCUAAGCUCAUCUACAGCCUUUUGUCCCUCCCCACGCCCCCAACCUCCUCUCUCAAGCCAAAAACAAAGCAGCAAACCAAAAAUUCUUACAUGCCCUCUCUGUGGUAAAGGGUAUACGGCAAUGUUAGUUACAGAGGGGAGCAUGAUCCGAGGGCCAAGAACUCCUGCGGGAAUCGCAGUGGAGCUGAUGCGGGGACGAUUCUGUUCUCCUAUGUUCUGAUCUUGUCACGAAGGCUGAAGGGAUUCGCUCGGUCGAAAAUCCAGGAAGUUUGAGAGGAGAAAUUGUUGAUUUUCAAAUGGGUUUUGGAGCUUAAAUCUCAAAUUGGUCUCGGAGGCUUGCAGCCAUUAAUGGCUUCUUCCUUCUUCUGUACUUGAAUUUCAGUUUCUUUUAUCUCACCCUUGGCCCAUGCUGAAAUGAAUUAAGGGGUUGGGAUAUUUGUUCUGCCGAAAAAAAAAAGGAGCUUCCAUUGAAGACAUUUCAAUGGUGUCUCCUAAAGUGCUUCACCUGAGAGUUUCAGUGUUUUCUCUCGUUGGGUUUUCAUUGUUGAAUCUAAGAGUUCGAGUUUUGAGCUUCGAGCAAGAAUGGAGGAAAAUAUCAAUGCAGAAAUUAACUGAAGAAUUAAUUGAUUAAAUUUGUGGAUGGUGGGGAUGUGUUUGGGAGUUGUUGGAGAUGUGCAAAAUAAAGGGCAGAUAGGCUUUAGAGGAGGGAAUUACACAGUAGAGACGCGGUAAGAAGGAGAGACCAAGGGGCUACACGUAGAGGAGGCUAAACAGAAGAGAGGGGGCCAUGGCUGAAGGAGUUGAUAAAGCUAGGCACGUAGUCAGUUCAAUGCAUAGGAGGGAAAAGCACCAGAUCAUUUAAUCAUAGUGUUGAGAUGGUAAGAUAACUAAAGGCUAUAUAUAAAGAAUGAAAAUAAGUGAAGGGAAAUCAUAGGGGAUGUACUCAUGAUGUUUUGGAAUUAGGAAAACAAGAGGGAAAAUAAGCAGGAGUGUUGGGGGAAACGAGAGAAUUUUGGGGAGAAUAUAGAAAGUAGGGACCUUUGCAGUUUGGUUCCCAGGAAACUUGCGGAAGUCUGAGAAACUGAAGGAAGUUGUGUUUUUUUUUGGGGGAGGGUGCUAAAGAAGGCACCUUAUGCUUUUGUUUUGGCCUCCAACAAGAAAAGUAAAAGAAAAUAAAAAGAGCACACUUGGAGGAUUUCCACUAGUGGUGGACAAACUUCCAGGGCGGUUCGCUCCUCCAUGCGCUGCUGUAUCCCCCGCCCCUCUGCAUUACUGUAUUAAGAAGAGAAAAGAAUCCUCUUCUCCUAAUCCCCACUUGCCCCUUUAUACAAGCAAUUGGGUCAGGUUGACCUGGUUUCCACAAGCAGUGGAUGACUGCCAACAUCAUGCACAGUGGCCCCUCAGAAGUGCUGUGCGACCCCCCUCCCUGCCCUUUUGCGCUGCAGUGUUAAGAGAAAAGAAUCCCCUCCUGGCUCCUCCUCAGUCCUAGUUUGUCUCUUUAUACCAGCAGUUGGGUCAAGUUAACCCAAUUUGACACUUACCCGAUUGUAUUUUUCUUAUUUUUUAUUUUUUAUUUUUAAUUCCUUUGUAGAUUUUACCCUUUAGAAAAUCUUAAAAAAAGCUCAAAAUUUGGUUGUUUGUUUAGGGUUUUGUUUUGUUUUGUUUUUUUCCCUUUAAUUAUGUAUCUUGUUUUCAUUUGUCGUAGUUUUGAUUGAAUCUUUACAACUUAAAAGAAAAAAGAAUUUAUUGUGAAAAUGUUAAAAUUCUAAUAAAAAGGAUCAUUGAAGGGUUAUGUUUCUGUUA